RNAcentral lists this ribosomal RNA (782 nucleotides) under uncultured Neocallimastigales. RNAcentral's name for it is "partial large subunit ribosomal RNA". It matches the Rfam family "Eukaryotic large subunit ribosomal RNA", at positions 23 to 616 of the family's 3401-position model. Lineage: Eukaryota; Fungi; Neocallimastigomycota; Neocallimastigomycetes; Neocallimastigales. The record is from RNAcentral.
ACACGCAUGACACACUGCAUAUCAAUAAGCGGAGGAAAAGAAACUAACUAGGAUUCCCCUAGUAACGGCGAGUGAAGCGGGAAGAGCUCAAAUUUGAAAUCUUCAAGGUUUGACCUUGACGAAUUGUAGUUUAAUAGAAGUGUUUUCUGUUAGUAGGAGUAGGCAAAAGUUCUUUGGAAUAGGACAUCAUAGAGGGUGAGAAUCCCGUAUUUGACUAUUCCUUCCUAGCGUUGUGAUACACUUUCAACGAGUCGGAUUGUUUGGGAAUGCAGUCCAAAAUGGGUGGUAAAUUUCAUCUAAAGCUAAAUAUUGGCGAGAGACCGAUAGCGAACAAGUACCGUGAGGGAAAGAUGAAAAGAACUUUGAAAAGAGAGUUAAACAGUACGUGAAAUUGUCAAAAGGGAAGCGUUUGACACCAGUGUUGUUUUUCCGAAAAUCCAAUUACGAAUGUUUUAGUUUUUAAGAAGUUAUGACUUCAUCGGCUUGCUUCUCUCUUUAUGAAACUUUCUUAAUGCACUUUUCGGUUAACAAGUCAACAUCAAUUUCUUUUGUUGUAAAAGGGUAUGAGGAAGGUGGCUUUCUUUUCGGAGAAAGUGUUUAUAGCCUUGUAGCCUCUGCAAUCGGAGAGAUUGAGGUCUGCAGCGUAGAUCCUUCGGGGUUAGAUACAGUUUGUGCUAAGUUAUAGCUUUUCAUAGACAACUUGUUGACUAUGUUUAGUCUUGUAGCUUACUCGCUGAUGCUAUUUUACCUACGCUUAGGAUGUUGAGCGCAUGUCUCUCUCU